UUGCAGAGGAUGCUUCGGCGUAGGCGCCGCCUAAAGUUCCUUGGAACGGGACGUCGUAGAAGGUGAUAGCCCUGUGACAGGGCGGAUGCCGUCGCCAUGUGAAGCUCCUUCGACGAGUCGAGUUGUUUGGGAAUGCAGCUCAAAACGGGAGGUAAAUUUCUUCUAAAGCUAAAUACCGGCCGGAGACCGAUAGUGCACAAGUAGAGUGAUCGAAAGAUGAAAAGCACUUUGGAAAGAGAGUCAAACAGCGCGUGAAAUUGUUAAAAGGGAAGCGCUUGCGGUCAGAACUUGGCCGCCGUUGCUCGGGGAGGUCUCGUGCCUCCCUCGCUCUUCGGCGGCUGGGCCAGCAUCGGUUCGGGCGGCUCGAUAAAGGCCGCGGGAACGUAGCUCCCUCCGGGGAGUGUUAUAGCCCGCGGCGGAAUGGGGCCCGCCUGGAUCGAGGUCUGCGCAUCUGCUCGGAUGCUGGCGUAAUGGCCUCAAGCGGCCCGUCUUGAAACACGGACCAAGGAGUCUAACAUUCGUGCGAGUGUUCGGGUGUUAAACCCGUGCGCGCAAUGAAAGUGAACGUAGGUGGGAACCCCUCGUGGGCGCACCAUCGACCGAUCCUGAUGUCUUCGGAUGGAUUUGAGUAUGAGCACGUAUGUUGGGACCCGAAAGAUGGUGAACUWUGCGUAAACAGGGCGAAGCCAGAGGAAACUCUGGUGGAGGCUCGCAGCGGUUCUGACGUGCAAAUCGAUCGUCAAAUUCGCGCAUA
This 754-nucleotide ribosomal RNA is filed under the name unidentified. RNAcentral describes it as "Muyocopron sp. CN-2020a partial large subunit ribosomal RNA". The record is from RNAcentral.